Aphidius gifuensis is the source of this 2494-nucleotide long non-coding RNA. RefSeq lists it as uncharacterized. The record is from RefSeq and is a predicted model, not a curated record. The transcript is spliced from 3 exons. NCBI's taxonomy places the organism in Eukaryota, Metazoa, Arthropoda, Insecta, Hymenoptera, Braconidae.
CCGACGAUCAGUUGAAGUAAGGGAAACAGGAUCGGUACAUGCCGCGUCUGGUCGAUCUGGACAGGCCAGUUAUCUUACAGUUAGACACGUAUUAACCUCUUGUCUCGUGUACUCCCCGCAGAGGUCCGCGAGAGUUUAUCCGAUGCGCUUCUUUCCAAACUAUUCCAUUGAGGCACCUGCGACGAGUGUUCACAGUCCGCCCAACCUGCACUCUAUAUACACAUAUAAUGUGCAAGUAUAUAUUCUACUCUCUCAGUUACUUGAUUUUAUUUUCAUCAUCAAGAAAUAUACACAAGAAAGAACGAGAUAUAUACUCACAAGAGAAUCGACUCGAAGUACCGCUAGUCGAUGAGCGGCCCCGACCGGGAGGCCGGACUCGUGACCACGGGGAAAAUGAUAAAAAAAAAAAAAAAUCAAGGGGAUAAAAAAACACUGAUAUAUAAACAGAAUAAAAAAAUAUAUAUUUUAUAUAAAAAUAAAUAAAUAUAAAUUUAAAAAACAACAACAACAAUAACAACAUUUGUAUCGCUUUGUAAACGAGAUGAAAAAAAAAUACAAUGAUCGUGCGCUAACCAUCUACCCGCGAUAUUCACAACGAACCAAUGAAUUUUAUGUAUAUUUUAUACAUACCUAAUUGAACAUUGCAUUUGUAUGAAUAAUAACAGAGUGGAAAAAAAAAUAUUAAAACUAAAAUUUAUCUACGAAUUUGUGUACAUUGAUGAAGACAUAAUUUGAUUAUAAAUUAUAUUUUAAAAUUAGCUAAAACUCGAGGUGUUAUUCGGAUGACAACAAGUGCGAUGUAAAUGAUCAGUUUGGUGGAAUGAAAAUCUAGUGAAAAUAUCAAAUUAUUUCGAUCAAUCUUUGACAUAAUUUUGCAAGAACUUGCAACAAGUCAAGAAGAAAAACUAUCAUAACAAACGACAACUGAAAGUACUGAAUAUACAUGUAUAUAAACAUGGUUGGUGACCUUAACGAACUUGGACUUGGGUGGGUUUAUAACGAUAUCAUAGUAAUAUAUGUCUUUUCACGUUUGACCUUGUCUAACAUCAAUUUUAUCUAAAAUCUUUUUAUCCAAUUUCAUCUUGGUUUAUCUCUGGUUGGUUAUAUACAAGCGUACAUUUUAUAGAGUGGUAAAUAAAUGAAUAAAAUGAAAAAAGAUUAAAUAUAAUAAUAAAAAAAAGUAUAAGCAGCACAAAGUGCCAAGUGAUGCGUGACCAAGGUGGCGGUUAUGAUAACUCUCGUGAUGUAAAGUCAUCGAACCCUCUGUUACAAUAAAUACCCAAGAGACAUUAUAUUAUACAACAACAGAUAUUAUUAUAUAAUAAUUUCUUUUCUUGUUUUUUUUUUUUUUUCAUGAAAAAUAAUGUAAGAAAGGUCAGUGUGCAGUCGUCUGGCGCCAUCAUUGAUAUUUCAACCGCCUACUUGUCUUAAAUCCUUCAUCAUAUUGCACCACAAUUCCGGAUAUUGCACUCACAUAUUUGUGUAUAAAUAAAUGUGGGUAUAUCUUGUUAAACAACAUCAUAAUUUUCAGGGCAAAAUUUAAAAAAAAUAUUAAAAACAAAACAACGAAAAUAUCUCAAUUUGUUUAUUCCAUCUAAAUCAUGACACAUGAAAGAAAUAAAAAAGAAUAAUAAAUAUGUAUACUCGAGUGGAGAUCAAAGCAUGACGAUUUUUUACAAAAGAUCUUUGUCUUUUUUUUUUUUUUUCAACUAUUAAAAAAAAACCUUUUAUUUUUUCAUAUUAUUAUUACUAACAAUAAGAUUUCUCAGAUAUAUAUACCAACAUUAUUUUUUGUGUAUUAUAGUUUAUACUCAAGGACGAAUUCUUUUCAUCUGAAUUGAAUUGCUCAAGCAAAUAUAAGAAAAUAAAUAUAUAAUAAAGCCCCUUUUUUUUUUUUUUUUAAUUUAAUUUUUUAUUUGAGGAUAUCACACAUUAAAAUCGUUCAAUCAUCAAGCUCGUGUUUCAAGCUAAAUUGCAGAAAUAUAUAAAAUACGCACAUAGAGGCCUUUGGGCGCACAUCCGGAUGACGCAAAAUGAUGAUGAGCGAUAAAUACUUGAUUAUAACAACAGCUACCUUUUAAAUUUAAAAUAAAUAAUAAUGAUAAUUUUCAAAAUAAGAAAGUGUUUUUUAAAAACACUUGACUAUCUUGAAAAAUAAAUAAAAAAAAAUAUACUAUACAGAUAAUAAUCAUUGAUGACUUGAUGGUAUAUAUGGGCACGUCCGUGCACUGGUGAACGAGGAUGUGAGAUGACUACAAAGUGAAUGAAUCCAGGAAGGUAACCCGAUGCAAUGGUGAGGCUUGGCCUCGCACAAGAUUGCACAUAUAGACUUUUUAUUUUUUUAUUUUUUUACCUAGGACCGUAUCACGAUGACAAAUAUUCCCGGAAAUACCGUUCAACCAGAACGUACUGUAUUCUAAUACAUAUAAAUGAUCAUGGUGAUCUUGCAUCAACUGAUAUAUAAAUUUUAAUUUUAUAUAUCAACUAUUGAACA